UACGAAGGGGGCUAGCGUUGCUCGGAAUCACUGGGCGUAAAGCGCACGUAGGCGGAUUUUUAAGUCAGGGGUGAAAUCCUGGAGCUCAACUCCAGAACUGCCUUUGAUACUGGGAAUCUCGAGUCCGGGAGAGGUGAGUGGAACUGCGAGUGUAGAGGUGAAAUCCGUAGAUAUUCGCAAGAACACCAGUGGCGAAGGCGGCUCACUGGCCCGGUACUGACGCUGAGGUGCGAAAGCGUGGGGAGCAAACAGG
Molecule: ribosomal RNA, 253 nt
Filed under: uncultured bacterium
Lineage: Bacteria
Description: partial 16S ribosomal RNA
Rfam family: Bacterial small subunit ribosomal RNA
Source: RNAcentral